Molecule: ribosomal RNA, 488 nt
Filed under: uncultured bacterium
Lineage: Bacteria
Description: partial 16S ribosomal RNA
Rfam family: Bacterial small subunit ribosomal RNA
Source: RNAcentral
UGACCGCUGGCGGCAGGCCUACCACAUGCACAUCGACCGGUAACAGGCAGAAGCUUGCUUCUUUGCUGACGAGUGGCGGACGGGUGAGUAAUGUCUGGGAAACUGCCUGAUGGAGGGGGAUAACUACUGGAAACGGUAGCUAAUACCGCAUAACGUCGCAAGACCAAAGAGGGGGACCUUCGGGCCUCUUGCCAUCGGAUGUGCCCAGAUGGGAUUAGCUAGUAGGUGGGGUAACGGCUCACCUAGGCGACGAUCCCUAGCUGGUCUGAGAGGAUGACCAGCCACACUGGAACUGAGACACGGUCCAGACUCCUACGGGAGGCAGCAGUGGGGAAUAUUGCACAAUGGGCGCAAGCCUGAUGCAGCCAUGCCGCGUGUAUGAAGAAGGCCUUCGGGUUGUAAAGUACUUUCAGCGGGGAGGAAGGGAGUAAAGUUAAUACCUUUGCUCAUUGACGUUACCCGCAGAAGAAGCACCGGCUAACUCCGUG